RNAcentral lists this small nucleolar RNA (139 nucleotides) under Oryza punctata. RNAcentral's name for it is "Small nucleolar RNA Z247". It matches the Rfam family "Small nucleolar RNA Z247". Rfam says of the family: Z247 is a member of the C/D class of snoRNA which contain the C (UGAUGA) and D (CUGA) box motifs. Most of the members of the box C/D family function in directing site-specific 2'-O-methylation of substrate RNAs. The record is from Rfam by way of RNAcentral. Lineage: Eukaryota; Viridiplantae; Streptophyta; Magnoliopsida; Poales; Poaceae.
CCCCUGGAUGAUGAGGAUCUAGUAUCCUAUGUGCCGGUCGGGCUGGACUUCGACUACAACCCUGUAGUCUCGUCGGUGACCGGGAGAUCGGAGCCGAUCAUGGUGGGCGAGCUGUAUGCACAGCUCGUAGGCUUCGAAA